This is a long non-coding RNA of Helianthus annuus (common sunflower), 334 nucleotides long. RefSeq lists it as uncharacterized. The record is from RefSeq and is a predicted model, not a curated record. Lineage: Eukaryota; Viridiplantae; Streptophyta; Magnoliopsida; Asterales; Asteraceae. The transcript has 2 exons.
UUCGAAUUUUAACGUUACUAAUUAUGCGUUUGAGGUCGGUAUGUAAUGCAGGAAUGAGUACAUCGGAUUCUUAUGAAAUUUAAGCCCAACCCGGAAUAAGAGGAUGAGUGAUACACGGACUUCUUCUGCUACUUAGGAGGUGAAGCGGACGUAAAUCGAGUCAAGAGCAAGGAUUGCACGGAUAGAUCGACCAUAUAGUUGAAAUAUGUAACGUCUAGAAAUGUGAAAUUUUAGUAUGAAUGUUGUGAAUUCUUUUAUAGAACGUUUAACAUUUUAGCUUUUGGAACCUUCUCGAAAGUAAUGUCGUUAAUAAGGAAGGAAAUUUUUAAAGCUC